GCCAGCUGGGCUCGGAGUGCAGCGGGGUUAGGGUGGACGAGGACGUGUUGCACCCUGAAGAGCCUCAUCAUCGGUGAGAGUGGGGUGGGCAAGUCCAGCCUGCUCUUGAGGUUCACAGAUGAUACCUUUGAUCCAGAACUUGCAGCAACAAUAGAUCCAUCUUCGGUUGUGAAUCCGGCCCGGGAUGCAGCCACCCCUUAGAGCAACCCCCCCUGCUGCUCGUGCCCUGCUGUGCUACUGCCUCAGUCACUUCCUGCUUGGUCAAGACCACAGCUGCUGAUGUCACAGCUGAGGCACAUCAAAAAGGCUGCCUGAUUCAAAGAAAGCUGCCGGAUAAAUCAUAGAACACAGACACUUCUACCUCAUGCUCUUAUGGGACUUUAGGAACCAAACAUAAGCACCUAUGGAAAAUGCACGGCGGUCUUGAAAGGCUGUGGUCUUUCAAGAAAAUAUCUGAAUGACUGUCUGUCAGUCCUACUCUGCAGGCUUGCUAAGAUGAUG
Molecule: non-coding RNA, 501 nt
Filed under: Pan troglodytes (chimpanzee)
Lineage: Eukaryota; Metazoa; Chordata; Mammalia; Primates; Hominidae
Source: RNAcentral